ACAUGCAAGUCGAACGAUGAAGCCCUUCGGGGUGGAUUAGUGGCGAACGGGUGAGUAACACGUGGGCAAUCUGCCCUUCACUCUGGGACAAGCCCUGGAAACGGGGUCUAAUACCGGAUAAUACCUGCCUGGGCAUCUGGGUGGGUUGAAAGCUCCGGCGGUGAAGGAUGAGCCCGCGGCCUAUCAGCUUGUUGGUGAGGUAGUGGCUCACCAAGGCGACGACGGGUAGCCGGCCUGAGAGGGCGACCGGCCACACUGGGACUGAGACACGGCCCAGACUCCUACGGGAGGCAGCAGUGGGGAAUAUUGCACAAUGGGCGAAAGCCUGAUGCAGCGACGCCGCGUGAGGGAUGACGGCCUUCGGGUUGUAAACCUCUUUCAGCAGGGAAGAAGCGAGAGUGACGGUACCUGCAGAAGAAGCGCCGGCUAACUACGUGCCAGCAGCCGCGGUAAUACGUAGGGCGCAAGCGUUGUCCGGAAUUAUUGGGCGUAAAGAGCUCGUAGGCGGCUUGUCACGUCGGGUGUGAAAGACCGGGGCUUAACCCCGGUUCUGCAUUCGAUACGGGCUAGCUAGAGUGUGGUAGGGGAGAUCGGAAUUCCUGGUGUAGCGGUGAAAUGCGCAGAUAUCAGGAGGAACACCGGUGGCGAAGGCGGAUCUCUGGGCCAUUACUGACGCUGAGGAGCGAAAGCGUGGGGAGCGAACAGGAUUAGAUACCCUGGUAGUCCACGCCGUAAACGGUGGGAACUAGGUG
This 752-nucleotide ribosomal RNA is filed under the name Streptomyces mirabilis. RNAcentral's name for it is "bacterial SSU rRNA". It matches the Rfam family "Bacterial small subunit ribosomal RNA", at positions 53 to 822 of the family's 1533-position model. Lineage: Bacteria; Bacillati; Actinomycetota; Actinomycetes; Kitasatosporales; Streptomycetaceae. The record is from RNAcentral.